ACACAGCUGCUCUGGCUCCUUCUCCCAGGGGACUUGCACCAGGCCAAGAUUCUCCCGUUCACUCCAAACUGAAGUUGGGUUCUCUCUUUCCCUCACUGUUUGCACCUGGCCUUGCCCCAAACCUGUGCACCCUGCCCACUGUCUCUCCCUUUCCUCCAGCUUUUCCUGCUCUCCCACCUCAGCAAUCGCCUUCUCAAGUCAGCACUGUGUUCUUCCCCAAACACAAACAGAUCAGAGAUGCAGCAGCCACAAGGAAACCUUGCCACUUCAGCAAGGUACUUGAACUUCUGUUAUCUUUGUCCGUAACAAAAUUGUGGCAGGGUACAAGGACAACUUAAUUAGCAGCUAAUCGGGGUUACUGGGAUAUAUGCCAAACUUAAAGCCAACUUCUAGAGGUAAGUUACUUGAUUUUCUCCAGCCCAACAGUCUCAGAUGGGAGGACAAUGGAAAACUCUGGGUCAAACAAUCAGAAUUUUAAAAUGUUGAUAGGCUAGAGCAAUGGGCAAUUUCUAUGGUAAAAUUUAACUGGGUGAACAUAUAAGGUCCCACACUUGAGUUCAAAAUACCAACUUGUCAUAUACAGGAUGGAGGAAAGGGGCUGGAUUUUACUCAACCCAAGACAAGAGGUGCAGUCCUGGGAUGUGACCUGAGGGUGUCAAACAGCCUAGGACUCUCAUUUCAGUCUGUGUUGUCAGUGAACGCCAGGAUGGGAUGUUACAUGCCCUUUGUGGCCCCAGGUUCGAGCCAGAUUCUGCAGAGAGCAGCCUGCACUGGGGAAGAACACGGCACCAUGCAGGCAGGAGUUGCAGAGGCUGAGAGGCUGCUGUCUGUGCUCAGACAUCCUGGACCCCAGAUUUUUUCCACCCUUGCCCUCCCUCUGUGAAGCACAGAGGAACAGCCACAGGAAGACUCCAGAUGUUCCGACCAGGUCCUCUCCUGAUGUGAUCUGCCGCAGCUGGUGUUAACAUCAAGCCCUGGCCAG
This is a non-coding RNA of Vicugna pacos (alpaca), 982 nucleotides long. NCBI's taxonomy places the organism in Eukaryota, Metazoa, Chordata, Mammalia, Artiodactyla, Camelidae. The record is from RefSeq and is a predicted model, not a curated record.